UACGGGGGGGGCAAGCGUUGUUCGGAAUUACUGGGCGUAAAGGGCUCGUAGGUGGCCAACUAAGUCAGACGUGAAAUCCCCAGGCUCAACUUGGGAACUGCGUCUGAUACUGGAUGGCUUGAAUUCGGGAGAGGGAUGCAGAAUUCCUGGUGUAGCGGUGAAAUGCGCAGAUAUCAGGAGGAACACCGAUGGCGAAGGCAGGUCUCUGGGCCGAUACUGACGCUGAGGAGCGAAAGCGUGGGGAGCGAACAGG
Molecule: ribosomal RNA, 253 nt
Filed under: uncultured bacterium
Lineage: Bacteria
Description: partial 16S ribosomal RNA
Rfam family: Bacterial small subunit ribosomal RNA
Source: RNAcentral